GUACACUCCUACGGGAGGCAGCAGUGGGGAAUUUUGGACAAUGGGCGAAAGCCUGAUCCAGCAAUGCCGCGUGAGUGAAGAAGGCCUUCGGGUUGUAAAGCUCUUUUGUCAGGGAAGAAACGGUGAAAGCUAAUAUCUUUUGCUAAUGACGGUACCUGAAGAAUAAGCACCGGCUAACUACGUGCCAGCAGCCGCGGUAAUACGUAGGGUGCAAGCGUUAAUCGGAAUUACUGGGCGUAAAGCGUGCGCAGGCGGUUUUGUAAGUCUGAUGUGAAAUCCCCGGGCUCAACCUGGGAAUUGCAUUGGAGACUGCAAGGCUAGAAUCUGGCAGAGGGGGGUAGAAUUCCACGUGUAGCAGUGAAAUGCGUAGAUAUGUGGAGGAACACCGAUGGCGAAGGCAGCCCCCUGGGUCAAGAUUGACGCUCAUGCACGAAAGCGUGGGGAGCAAACAGGAUUAGAUACCCCUGUAGUCCCA
RNAcentral lists this ribosomal RNA (475 nucleotides) under uncultured organism. Its description in RNAcentral is "partial 16S ribosomal RNA". It matches the Rfam family "Bacterial small subunit ribosomal RNA", at positions 331 to 797 of the family's 1533-position model. The record is from RNAcentral.